This 497-nucleotide ribosomal RNA is filed under the name uncultured bacterium. RNAcentral's name for it is "partial 16S ribosomal RNA". It matches the Rfam family "Bacterial small subunit ribosomal RNA", at positions 28 to 507 of the family's 1533-position model. The record is from RNAcentral.
GAUGAACGCUGGCGGCGUGCCUAAUACAUGCAAGUCGAGCGAACGGACGAGAAGCUUGCUUCUCUGAUGUUAGCGGCGGACGGGUGAGUAACACGUGGAUAACCUACCUAUAAGACUGGGAUAACUUCGGGAAACCGGAGCUAAUACCGGAUAAUAUUUUGAACCGCAUGGUUCAAAAGUGAAAGACGGUCUUGCUGUCACUUAUAGAUGGAUCCGCGCUGCAUUAGCUAGUUGGUAGGGUAACGGCUUACCAAGGCAACGAUGCAUAGCCGACCUGAGAGGGUGAUCGGCCACACUGGAACUAAGACACGGUCCAGACUCCUACGGGAGGCAGCAGUAGGGAAUCUUCCGCAAUGGGCGAAAGCCUGACGGAGCAACGCCGCGUGAGUGAUGAAGGUCUUCGGAUCGUAAAACUCUGUUAUUAGGGAAGAACAUAUGUGUAAGUAACUGUGCACAUCUUGACGGUACCUAAUCAGAAAGCCACGGCUAACUACGUG